AGAAAGCCGACACUACCGAUUCCUAGCUGGAUAACUGGUGAUAAAGACUAGAAAAACAGGUAAAACCUAUGAAUCUAGCAAAUAUCGAUAACUAGUGAAUAAAUCUAAACGAAACAACAGCGAUACGCCCGAAGUUAAAGCUUAGAUAUUACUCGAUAAACAGAACUUACAGAAUCGGCCGGAGAUCAAGAUGAUGCAGCCCUGCCAACCCGCACGAACUCGUGAAAAAGAGAAAAGUAGUAGCGAAGUCGCCUGCUUGAAAGUAAGUACGAGGAAAAAGUAGCUUGUUGUAUUGAUUGGUUGAUGAUUACAGAUUUACCAAGGUAGCUAUUUAUAGCCCCGUACAGAUAUCUUCUUAACCGACUAGAAUUCUAUCCCUAAUUCAAACAGAAAACGAAUAUCUACAAGCAUGAUUCGUGCUAGGUUAGUUACUCCACGCUUUGUGGGCUGACUUCCAGCUCAUCCUUCUAUUCCAAGCCCAUACAGGCCCAAUUAGCCCAUCCUCCUAAUCGGCCGAUUCCUCAUCGGCAAAAGAUUACCGAUUGGGACUCUGAUAUAUUCGACCCGAAGCGAGACAGAAGUCACCAGCCGAUCUCACACUGUAGCACCAUUUGGCCGAUUCCCAACUGUGCUUCUCCGAUUCCUCCUCUUCUUAGCACCGAUUCUACUAGUGACGAAAUCUGGCGUCAACAGCUAGGUACUGCUUGCAGUUUCUCUUCCAGUGACCAAGUUCAUGACAGUAAAAGCACUCUUUGUCUGGAGCAGGUCUAGGUCCAGCUUUAACCUUGGGCGCUGGGUUUGGCUUGGACGUUCCAGCCUUGCCCUUCUUCUUCCAAGAAUUGCCCUUCUUCUUAAAGCUAGGCUUGUUCUGUAUAGCCAUCACAUGGCUGGUACUAGUGCUUUUCUUGAUGUCUACCUCUGCUAUCUUGAGCAUACCACACAGUUCAUUCAAACCCUUCUCC
RNAcentral lists this long non-coding RNA (962 nucleotides) under Setaria viridis. RNAcentral's name for it is "long non-coding RNA (SVIR_LNC000422)". Lineage: Eukaryota; Viridiplantae; Streptophyta; Magnoliopsida; Poales; Poaceae. The record is from RNAcentral.